RNAcentral lists this ribosomal RNA (460 nucleotides) under uncultured bacterium. RNAcentral's name for it is "partial 16S ribosomal RNA". It matches the Rfam family "Bacterial small subunit ribosomal RNA", at positions 338 to 795 of the family's 1533-position model. The record is from RNAcentral.
CCUACGGGAGGCAGCAGUGAGGAAUAUUGGUCAAUGGACGAGAGUCUGAACCAGCCAAGUAGCGUGAAGGAUGACUGCCCUAUGGGUUGUAAACUUCUUUUAUAUGGGAAUAAAACGUUCCACGUGUGGGAUUUUGUAUGUACCAUAUGAAUAAGGAUCGGCUAACUCCGUGCCAGCAGCCGCGGUAAUACGGAGGAUCCGAGCGUUAUCCGGAUUUAUUGGGGUUAAAGGGAGCGUAGGUGGAUUGUUAAGUCAGUUGUGAAAGUUUGCGGCUCAACCGUAAAAUUGCAGUUGAAACUGGCAGUCUUGAGUACAGUAGAGGUGGGCGGAAUGCGUGGUGUAGCGGUGAAAUGCUUAGAUAUCACGAAGAACUCCGAUUGCGAAGGCAGUUCACUGGACUGCAACUGACACUGAGGCUCGAAAGUGUGGGUAUCAAACAGGAUUAGAUACCCUUGUAGUC